Molecule: small RNA, 40 nt
Filed under: Sinorhizobium meliloti 2011
Lineage: Bacteria; Pseudomonadati; Pseudomonadota; Alphaproteobacteria; Hyphomicrobiales; Rhizobiaceae
Description: putative ncRNA
Source: RNAcentral
AGCCGUCCCGUAACACAAAUCGUCGGUACACUUCCCCGUU